This 1372-nucleotide ribosomal RNA is filed under the name uncultured bacterium. RNAcentral describes it as "bacterial SSU rRNA". It matches the Rfam family "Bacterial small subunit ribosomal RNA", at positions 28 to 1381 of the family's 1533-position model. The record is from RNAcentral.
GAUGAACGCUGGCGGCGUGCCUAAUACAUGCAAGUCGAGCGAACAGACGAGGAGCUUGCUCCUUUGACGUUAGCGGCGGACGGGUGAGUAACACGUGGGUAACCUACCUAUAAGACUGGGAUAACUUCGGGAAACCGGAGCUAAUACCGGAUAAUAUUUCGAACCGCAUGGUUCGAUAGUGAAAGAUGGCUUUGCUAUCACUUAUAGAUGGACCUGCGCCGUAUUAGCUAGUUGGUAAGGUAACGGCUUACCAAGGCAACGAUACGUAGCCGACCUGAGAGGGUGAUCGGCCACACUGGAACUGAGACACGGUCCAGACUCCUACGGGAGGCAGCAGUAGGGAAUCUUCCGCAAUGGGCGAAAGCCUGACGGAGCAACGCCGCGUGAGUGAUGAAGGUCUUCGGAUCGUAAAACUCUGUUAUUAGGGAAGAACAAACGUGUAAGUAACUGUGCACGUCUUGACGGUACCUAAUCAGAAAGCCACGGCUAACUACGUGCCAGCAGCCGCGGUAAUACGUAGGUGGCAAGCGUUAUCCGGAAUUAUUGGGCGUAAAGCGCGCGUAGGCGGUUUUUUAAGUCUGAUGUGAAAGCCCACGGCUCAACCGUGGAGGGUCAUUGGAAACUGGAAAACUUGAGUGCAGAAGAGGAAAGUGGAAUUCCAUGUGUAGCGGUGAAAUGCGCAGAGAUAUGGAGGAACACCAGUGGCGAAGGCGACUUUCUGGUCUGUAACUGACGCUGAUGUGCGAAAGCGUGGGGAUCAAACAGGAUUAGAUACCCUGGUAGUCCACGCCGUAAACGAUGAGUGCUAAGUGUUAGGGGGUUUCCGCCCCUUAGUGCUGCAGCUAACGCAUUAAGCACUCCGCCUGGGGAGUACGACCGCAAGGUUGAAACUCAAAGGAAUUGACGGGGACCCGCACAAGCGGUGGAGCAUGUGGUUUAAUUCGAAGCAACGCGAAGAACCUUACCAAAUCUUGACAUCCUUUGACCCUUCUAGAGAUAGAAGUUUCCCCUUCGGGGGACAAAGUGACAGGUGGUGCAUGGUUGUCGUCAGCUCGUGUCGUGAGAUGCUGGGUUAAGUCCCGCAACGAGCGCAACCCUUAAGCUUAGUUGCCAUCAUUAAGUUGGGCACUCUAAGUUGACUGCCGGUGACAAACCGGAGGAAGGUGGGGAUGACGUCAAAUCAUCAUGCCCCUUAUGAUUUGGGCUACACACGUGCUACAAUGGACAAUACAAAGGGCAGCGAAACCGCGAGGUCAAGCAAAUCCCAUAAAGUUGUUCUCAGUUCGGAUUGUAGUCUGCAACUCGACUACAUGAAGCUGGAAUCGCUAGUAAUCGUAGAUCAGCAUGCUACGGUGAAUACGUUCCCGGGUCU